Molecule: ribosomal RNA, 253 nt
Filed under: uncultured bacterium
Lineage: Bacteria
Description: partial 16S ribosomal RNA
Rfam family: Bacterial small subunit ribosomal RNA
Source: RNAcentral
UACGUAGGGUGCAAGCGUUGUCCGGAAUUAUUGGGCGUAAAGAGCUCGUAGGCGGUUUGUCGCGUCUGCUGUGAAAACCCGAGGCUCAACCUCGGGCCUGCAGUGGGUACGGGCAGACUAGAGUGCGGUAGGGGAGAUUGGAAUUCCUGGUGUAGCGGUGAAAUGCGCAGAUAUCAGGAGGAAUACCGAUGGCGAAGGCAGGUCUCUGGGCCACUACUGACGCUGAGAAGCGAAAGCAUGGGGAGCGAACAGG